AGGGAUCAUUACCGAGUGAGGGCCCCCGGGCCCGACCUCCCACCCCUUGACGAACGUCCGGUUUGCCUCGGGGGCGACCCGGCCCCUUCGGUGCCCGGGUGCCCCCGGUGGGUUACCCACUCUGCGUCUUUGCGUCGGAGUCGAAUGGAAAAUGAAAUGAAAACUUUCAACAACGGAUCUCUUGGUUCUGGCAUCGAUGAAGAACGCAGCGAAAUGCGAUAAGUAAUGUGAAUUGCAGAAUUCAGUGAAUCAUCGAAUCUUUGAACGCACAUUGCGCCCUUUGGCAUUCCGAAGGGCAUGCCCGUUCGAGCGUCAUUUCAACAAUCAAGCCUGGCUUGGUGUUAGGUCACGGGGGCGACCCGGACCUCAAUGUCCCUCUGGCUGGACGACCCCGAUCCCGGCGUUGUGGUACACAAAUUCGCUGGUCGAAAGGGGGAGAAACGUGCUGUGAAUCACCGCGUAUGCGUACGAAAGGUUGACCUCGGAUCGGGUAGGGAUACCCGCUGAACUUAA
RNAcentral lists this ribosomal RNA (513 nucleotides) under uncultured fungus. Its description in RNAcentral is "eukaryotic LSU rRNA". The stretch from base 162 to 315 matches the Rfam family "5.8S ribosomal RNA". Lineage: Eukaryota; Fungi. The record is from RNAcentral.